GGCUACAGAACGAACGCUGGCGGCAUGCCUAAUACAUGCAAGUCGAACGGAGAUAGCAAUAUCGUAGUGGCGAACGGGUGCGUAACACGUGAGCAACUACCUGUACACAGGAAUAACAGUUGGAAACGACUGCUAAAACCGGAUAAGACCACACCGAGGCAUCUCGGAGAGGCCAAAAUGGAAUAAGUGGUACAAGAUGGGCUCGCGUCCAAUUAGCUAGUUGGUGGGGUAACGGCCCACCAAGGCGACGAUUGGUAGCCGACUUGAGAGAGUGAACGGCCACACUGGAACUGAGACACGGUCCAGACUCCUACGGGAGGCAGCAGUAGGGAAUAUUGGGCAAUGGAGGAAACUUCCUUACCCAGCAAUGCCGCGUGAAUGAUGAAGGUCUUAUGGAUUGUAAAGUUCUUUAAUUGGGGACGAAAAAAUGACGGUACCCAAGGAAUAAGCCCCGGCUAACUAUGUGCCAGCAGCGGC
This 477-nucleotide ribosomal RNA is filed under the name uncultured bacterium. Its description in RNAcentral is "bacterial SSU rRNA". It matches the Rfam family "Bacterial small subunit ribosomal RNA", at positions 26 to 518 of the family's 1533-position model. The record is from RNAcentral.